RNAcentral lists this ribosomal RNA (447 nucleotides) under uncultured bacterium. RNAcentral describes it as "partial 16S ribosomal RNA". It matches the Rfam family "Bacterial small subunit ribosomal RNA", at positions 29 to 523 of the family's 1533-position model. The record is from RNAcentral.
AACGAACGCUGGCGGCAGGCUUAACACAUGCAAGUCGAGCGCCUCGCAAGGGGAGCGGCAGACGGGUGAGUAACGCGUGGGAACAUGCCCAAAGGUACGGAACAACUCCGGGAAACUGGAGCUAAUACCGUAUGUGACCGAGAGGUGAAAGAUUUAUCGCCUUUGGAUUGGCCCGCGUUGGAUUAGCUAGUUGGUGGGGUAAAGGCCUACCAAGGCGACGAUCCAUAGCUGGUCUGAGAGGAUGAUCAGCCACACUGGGACUGAGACACGGCCCAGACUCCUACGGGAGGCAGCAGUGGGGAAUAUUGGACAAUGGGCGCAAGCCUGAUCCAGCCAUGCCGCGUGAGUGAUGAAGGCCUUAGGGUUGUAAAGCUCUUUCGCCAGGGACGAUAAUGACGGUACCUGGAUAAGAAGCCCCGGCUAACUUCGUGCCAGCCGCCGCAGUAA